RNAcentral lists this long non-coding RNA (7438 nucleotides) under Malus domestica (apple). RNAcentral describes it as "long non-coding RNA (MDOM_LNC006786)". Lineage: Eukaryota; Viridiplantae; Streptophyta; Magnoliopsida; Rosales; Rosaceae. The record is from RNAcentral.
UCCAAUCUGUCAGAACCCCGCUGUAUUCCUCGUAGUCACCACACCUUUGUGAUUCCUGAACCUGGAGGGGCGCAAAACCAAAAUUGAGUGGGUCAGUAAAACAAUUCUUUUCCAAAUCCAAACAUUUCUCAAAACGUUGUAACCCCUCUCCGUAAAACCUGUAUACUUUCCCAGAAAUGUAAAAUAUAAAUAUACAUAUAUAUUCUCAAAACUUCAUUUUUACUAUCUCAACAUUAUCUCUUUAUCAAUCAUGCCAUGCCAUGUCAUCUCAACAUUUCUCAUAUUAAUUAUGCCAUGCCACAUCAUCUCAACAGUAAUAAGGUAUGAAUGCAUCAACAUAAUCAUAUCAGGUGCAAGAAAGUAAUCAACCGUAGGCCCUCUAAUAGCCCUAUACGGUUGAACCUAGAGCUCAAAAUCUAUCAUUAUCACUCUACCGGAGUCACCUCUGUGACCCGUCCGGCCUUCUGCACACAAGUUACGCUCUAGUGCUUCUCAUAAAUCAUUUGUGCACAUAAUCUAAGGUCACCCACCAGUCGGAAUCUCACUAACACUCUCGCGACUGGUCUGUCGUACCCACUCCGCGUGGACUGUACGACUAGCAUCUACUUGGAUCCAAGGCGAGCGUGCGAUGCGGUGAAUACUAUAAGCACUAAACCAUGGUGCAGGAUUUGAGCUCAAUAUAUAUCAUCAUCAUCAUAACAGUAAUUAAAUACUCACCUGUGCGUCCACCGCACCAUUUCAUACAUAUGCAUCAUAAAUCAAUUCUUACCUGUGCGUCCACCGCACCAAUUCAUACAUAUGCAUCAUAUAUUAAUUCAUGCAUGGCAUUUCAACUCACAUUUCUAUAUACUUUUCAUAUCAAUUCUAUGCAUGGUAUUUCACUUCCCGUUUUUCCACAUAACUCAUAUGCAUUUCAUUUUAAACAUAAUUCAUGCAUUUUCAAUUUCUGGGAAAACGUUAAGUAUAUAUAUAUAUACGGAAAACAAAACUGCCCACUCACCUGGAGUUCGUCCAACAACUCCCUAGCACCACACAUCAAGGCGUCACGACGAUCGCCGCCUAGAAUAGUAAUCAAAUCCAACCUCAGAAUUCAUAUCGAUAGAAUAUAUAACUUAUAUAAAAUACGUCACUAUGUAGUUCGAUCCGGAAGAUCUGCCACUCAGAUUUUAAAUCCAUAACUUCCAGAGGUCCACAAUAUAUCUCUAGGAUAACAUCCUAAAAUUUCAUUACCAUCCAACGGUCGGAUCUCCGUCAAUUUCCAAAACUAAGUGACGGUUAACAUUUUAUAUUAUGGACUUACAAUUCCAAUUCCGGAAGAUCCGUAACUCGAAUUCCCAAUCCGUAAGUUCCAAUAAUCCUCAAAUAUUACGUAUUACAACGUAUCAAAGUUUGGUGACGAUCCAACGGUCGGAUCAUCAAUUCACAUUUUCACCUAAAUGUGAAAACUAUAAAACGUUAUUUGAACACCUAACCAACAAUCCUCAAUAACUUUCUCAUACGGUGUUCAAUUUAGGUAUAUAAAUAUACCACAAUGAUCUACUCGACGUCACGGACGUCGACAUAUUUUUAAAAUAAUUUUAUUUUUAUUUUUUUAUUUUUACUGUAGCACCUUCUUCUUCCUUGGGUCGCCGGACUGGUUUUUCCGGCGGCCGUUUUCCGGGCAGUUUUUCAAAUUGCCAUAACUUUGUCAUUUCUCAACGAAAUCAAGUGAUUCAAAAACGAAAGUUGUAGCCCUUGAAGAGACAAAGAGAAUGGUACCUUUCACAACACCUAGUUCGCCGUGGUUUGGCCGGAAACUGCCUCGAAAGCCUCGGAGGUCGCCGGAAACUGGGUAUUUUUCAAAUGAGUAUAACUUCUUCAAUACUCAACGAAAUUGAGUGAAACAAAAAGGAAAGUUGUAGUACUUGACGAGACGAAGAGAUUGAUACCUACCUCGACUCCUAACUCGCCGGGUAUUCUCCGGAAAACACCUCGAAAGCUCCGGCCAAACUUUGAACUUGUCGAUCUCCGUGUUCUUACGUCCAAAAACUUCCAACGAAGCACUCCGAGCUUCCUUGGGACCUCACUAAGCUUGCUAUGAUCUUAUUUUGGCCUAAAACACAACCACUUCAAAGAUCAUGAAUAGUACACAUUCACGGGGUCUUUAGAACUAGGGUUUUUCGAAAUGAAACUUACCUGAAAAUGGUACCUACGUGAUCGUGAAGUCCUCAGGGUUGCAAUGGUAGUCUUAACUUGGACGUUGGUAUAGGUUUUAGGUGGUUUUGGUGGUUUUGGUGGUUGCCCGUGCGUUCGAGAAGAAGAGAGAGAAUGAGAGUUUCUGAGGAAGAGCUGAGGAAGAGAGAGAGUAUGAAGGACAGUAUACGGGAAAUGGGGAGGGUUUUGAGGUGUGGGGAUCCCACAUGUCCAAACCAAUCCCAAUUUCAUAAAAUUCCAUCAUAAAAUUUAAGUCUAAGUCUCCACUCCAAUUACCAAAUUUUUUUGGAGCUUAGAUAUAACGAACGUGAAAAUUAUACCUUAGUCACAUAUUAGGGACAUUUCCGUAAUUUCAUGUCCUCGGAAUUAAAAAUUCCGGCACGGGCUGUGACAAUCUCCCCUCCUUAUAGAAUUUCGUCCCCGAAAUUCCAGCAACCAACCAAAUCAUCUAUACUCAUACAAUAGCCUCGGAUAAAUCUCUCUCAUCCGAUUCUCUUUCUCCCACACAAUUUUCUACUGAAUGAUUUCCUUCACAAAGCUUUUACUACUUACUCUGUCUUAAUUCUUAGGACCUUCUUUUUCCAAUUCAAAGUCGACAUUAGUUCCUCACCAAUCAGAUCCGGCUUAAUUCUCAAUAGUUGCACCAAAGUCCCAUGUAACGACUCUGCCACUUAGUGACAACGCAUCGAACACAAAAUACAUUAUGUGCCUUAGCCAAUUCUGAAGGCAUCACAAACUUGUAUGCAACUUUAUUGAUUCCUUUAGUAAAAAAAAAAAUGGUCUGAUGUGUCUAAAUCUUAUCUUGUCUCUUUUCCAAUUUUUCAUUCUCGUCAUUUCUGUUCGCGGUGAAUUUUCCAAAAAUAUCAAACCAUUUACCUUACACACUCGAUUAGUGGCAUAUCCAUCUGUUGAUCUCUUUUGCCAUUCCUGGUUACUUCAGGUUAACUUAAUCACCUGAAUACUUUGAGGAAACUCAUCCAUAGUCUCAGGGUCUACUAAAACUCUUUCUUGAUCGAAUCCUUCUCUACCCAGAAACAUUCCAUUCACAAAGUCAUCAAAAACCGACUCACAUGACACAUUUCAUGAUCCUUAUGGCGUUACUUCGGAAACUGCACAACCAACAUACUUAAGAAACUCAGCAGUUCCGUAAACCAAUUCUCUUUUCCAUAAAACAAAUAAGUAAUGUUGCACUGUCUGGGAAAGGUUGUUACUCAACACUGGAGUAAAUGUACUAACUUGUUACUUAACAAGUAAUAACUUCUUCUCGAUCUUCCAUUCUUAAUUUUUCUUCCGUUGGUUUUCAAUCCACAAGAUGAUACUCUUGGCAAACGUGCCAGACAUUAAUCUUACUGUAGUCUUCUCACCAAGUGCUUGAGCUAGAACAAACUUUACGAUCACCCUGAUCGUACAAUCAUGUUCAUUAAGCAAUUCAAUCCACCUUUGUUGCCUCAUAUUGAAAUCCUUCCGAGUAAACAAAUAUUGGAGACUCUUUUGAUUUGUAAAAUCUUGCAUUCUUAUCAACAUAGAAUGUCUCCAUAACUUCACAGCAAGAAUGGUAAUCAUGACUUCCAAGUCACCCGUAGGGUAAUUCAUCUUAUGAGAUUCCAUUUAUCGUGAAACGUAUGCAAUCACCCUAACAUUUGCAUCAACAUGCAUCCAAUACCAUUCAAGAAACAUCACUAAAAAUUUAUGAUUACCACUAUUCUCUGGGAAUACCAAAAUACGUGCAUGAGUGAGGAAAUACUUCAGUUGUUGAAUCCUUUGCUCACAAUUUCCUUCCCACUCAUACAUAACCUCUUUUCUCAACAGUCUCGUCAAUGACAAAGCAAUGACUGAAAAAUCUUUCACAACCAUCCAAGAUAGCCUGGUAAGCUAAGAAAUUCCGAAUCUCAAUUACAGUUCGUGGUUGUUCCAAUUCCUCAAUUUCUGCUAUCUUUUAAGGAUUCACUUGAAUACCUUAAGAAUAUAUAACAAAUCUCAGAAUGCCACCUGAUUCAUCUAACUUUAGCAUUUGCUACUUAGCAUACAACCGACAUUCUUCCAAUCUUUAUUCCACCGACUUAAUACGUUUACAUGCUCUGCUCUGGCUCAGAAUAUGCCAGAAUAUCUUCAAUGAAAAUGAUAUCUAUUUAUCAAGGCAUUAUUGGAAUACUUCAUCCAAUAACUCAUAAAACAGCAUGAGUAUCCAUAUAGCAUCACCAUAGUUCAUAAAACAAUCUUAAGAACAACGUCGCUCAUAAUCUUUAAAUUGGUAAUAACCAGACCUCAAUUCAAUCUUUGAAUCUUCGCAAUUACUUCUGAGCUGGUUAAAUAAACAUCAGUACAUCACCAUGGAUAACGGUUCUCAAUCGUUACCCGACUCCAUUGUCUAUAAUCAAUGAACAGUCUCAAGAUCCAUUUUCUUCCUCACCAACAAACUGGGGCUCCUCAAAAGUGUUGUACUAGGUUGAAUGAAACUUUUAUCAACCAAUUCUUUCAACUGAAUUUCCAAUUCCCUUAACUCAUCCUGAACCAAUCUCCAAUAUAAAUUUAUACCUGGCAACAAAUCAAUAAUGAACCUCAUAUCUCUGCCUGAAGGCAAUCCAGGUAUACUUUCAAGGAAGACAUCAAGAAAAGUCUAACUCUUUCGACAUUAUUCACACUACUCCAAACAACAUCAUUUAGCACCACAUGAGCUAAGUAUUUUUGACAGUCUUUCGAAAACAAUCUCUUUGCUCUCACAGCAUAAAUAACGGCCUGACUCAAUCCAUUUUGCAUACUUACAAAAGUAAUCUCUGUUCAUCCAGAUCGAUGGAAAGUACUGGUUUCCCAUAACAUUUCGUCUUGUCACAAUUAUAACCAACCAAUCUAAUGGAACAGAAUUAACUGAUACAAUAUAUAUUUUAUUAUUAUUAAGCAUUCCAAAUAAGUACAAUACUAACAUAAAAUAAUCUACCGGGUUGCUUGCUUAACGAAUCCACGAAUGAGUUAUUAAUAUUACGGUCUGCAGCCCGCAAUACUGAUAAAUCAUCGUUGUCUCGAUAAGUAGGCAACCACUCUCAAAGAUAUAACAUUACUAUUUUGUCACUCAAUGCAAAAUACAUACACUCUCAUCUCAACUACAUUUAUUUACUACUCUCAAGGUAAUAACAUACAUAAUAAGAAAUAUAUCAGCCGAAGUCAACUAGAAUGACCAAUACGGCUGAUUCAACUCUUAUCUCAAUAAUACGUCGGCCGGAUCCACUCCGCGUGGUCGGUACGGCCGAGCCUAUAACUCACAAAUUUCGCAUGUGUCAAUCGAAUCCACUUCUCGUGGCCUGUACGGCUGAACAUAUAACUCAUCAAAUCUCUCUGUACUCACGGUCAAUCCGACCAAACUACUAAGUCCAUAACUCUGCUGAAUCGACACUAUGAUAUCAUGGAAAAUUAUUGAGUACAACUGAUUCUAGGGACGAUUCACAAUUCUGUGUCCCCUCUGUUCACAUAAACACAUUCAUUAAUUUCACAUUUCCCAAAGUGUUAAUUUUGUACCUGCUGCACAAGGUACAUUUCUUUUACUCGAGACACCUUGUCUCAAAUAUCUGGGAUUACCAGUAUAUCCAUCACUUUUACUCUGACCAACGACACUAAAACCUCAGCUGGAAGAAUUAACUCUAGCUUCACUUCUUUCGAAGCUCUGAAUCCUUCGAUAUUCUUGAUAUGACGAAUCAUUAACUUUAUCGUCUUCUUUUAAUUCCCAUUCUUUUCUUAUUCCUCUUCACUCUAGCUGAUCAUAUUCUCAGAGUCCUCAAGACUCAACAGCAUCUCGUAUAUUCUUGGUAAGAAGUACAAUGGAUAGUGGUCACCCAAAAUACCACUUCCCUUUUUUGCCACCCAGCUUAAAACAACAUAACACCUCCACCAAAUUAACAACAAUAUCUGGAUGGAACGAGGCAAGUCUGAAAACUUUCUAUAAUAUCCCUCGAUCAUCACCUUCCUUGUCUCAUAUUUGUAAACUCUUGUUUACUACCAUCGAUAAAUGCCGGAGGGAUAAACUUUUCCUUUAAACAAGUCCUUAAACAAUUCUCAAUCGACUGAUUCCUCUGGUGACAACAAUUCAUACUCCUGUUUCCACCAGGAUACAAAUUCAUAACCAAAACCAGGUAGUCGUCUCGACCCCUUGUCAGAAGGAAGAUUCCUUUGACUUGCAUAUUCCGAAACAUCUUUUCCAAUUGGUUAAUCCGUCACUUUGUUCCCUCAGGUUCAUCAUUUCUCUUAAGUGAUUCAAAUUCAACUCAUAACCCGUCUUAAAAUGUCCAUUUUUCUAAUAUACUGAAUCACCAUAAGAAUAGUUUCCCCUAACCCGCUAAAUCAGGGAGACUAAGUUCCUCUAACUACGUGGUUUGCUACGAGGCGGUGUAGUUCUGACAGAAUUCACUAGAACUUCUCAAAAUGUCCAAGAUUGCAACCAUGCUCUGAUACCAACUGACACACCCCGUCCCGAAGGAGGGCAUGCUGGCCGUCACGUGAGAGUGACGUAACCAUUUGCACAGUACGGAAGCUUUAAUUAUACAAUUUAUAAGUUGAUACACCCGAAGGUGAGUCCUAAUUUUGUCCAAUCUGUCAGAACCCCGCUGUAUUCCUCGUAGUCACCACACCUUUGUGAUUCCUGAACCUGGAGGGGCGCAAAACCAAAAUUGAGUGGGUCAGUAAAACAAUUCUUUUCCAAAUCCAAACAUUUCUCAAAACGUUGUAACCCCUCUCUCCGUAAAACCUGUAUACUUUCCCAGAAAUGUAAAAUAUAAAUAUACAUAUAUAUUCUCAAAACUUCAUUUUUACUAUCUCAACAUUAUCUCUUUAUCAAUCAUGCCAUGCCAUGUCAUCUCAACAUUUCUCAUAUUAAUUAUGCCAUGCCACAUCAUCUCAACAGUAAUAAGGUAUGAAUGCAUCAACAUAAUCAUAUCAGGUGCAAGAAAGUAAUCAACCGUAGGCCUUCUAAUAGCCCUAUACGGUUGAACCUAGAGCUCAAAAUCUAUCAUUAUCACUCUACCGGAGUCACCUCUGUGACCCGUCCGGCCUUCUGCACACAAGUUACGCUCUAGUGCUUCUCAUAAAUCAUCUGUGCACAUAAUCUAAGGUCACCCACCAGUCGGAAUCUCACUAACACUCUCGCGACUGGUCUGUCGUACCCACUCCGCGUGGACUGUACGACUAGCAUCUACUUGGAUCCAAGGCGAGCGUGCGAUGCGGUGAAUACUAUAAGCACUAAACCAUGGUGCAGGAUUUG